RNAcentral lists this long non-coding RNA (708 nucleotides) under Microcebus murinus (gray mouse lemur). Its description in RNAcentral is "lncRNA (ENSMICG00000048557.1)". The record is from RNAcentral. Lineage: Eukaryota; Metazoa; Chordata; Mammalia; Primates; Cheirogaleidae.
CUCCACUCGCAGGGACGGACCGUCUUGGCCUACAGUAACAAGCUGCUCCUGCCUAGGGUGACUCCGUCGUUUUGGCCUUGCUGGUGAUUUUUCCAAGAAAGGAGUCAGAGGACGGGAUCCUAGUCUGCACUCUACGCUCGGGUGUGUCUGGUCAUUCUGCGGCCAAGAGCACACGAGAGCUGCGGGCAGACUCCCGCCCCGACACCCGUGGUGCCGAAAGCAGGGUUCUGACGCCAGGAGGAAGAGGAGGAGCCAGCAGUGGCCGGCGGGUGCCAGCACAUGGUGGCGAAGGCCAGACUGGCCACCACUGACCCACACAGAGCCACACAGCAGAGCCAGCUGGGGACAGAGGCCACCGUGUGCACCCAAGGUCCCUUGCCCAGCCACUGCACAGUCACCAGCCCCCACCCAUGCUACGGAGGAGGCACAGGGGUGGAUGGCGGCAGCCUGCAGGGACCCGGGCAGGCUGGGAGCAGCUGCAGCCCCCGAGUACCCGGCACCUGUACCGCAGCACCAGGCCACACCGACCCAAGGCCACCUAGGACUGACCUGCCGAGCAGAGGUGCCAGAGCAUCGGCAGUGAGUACCUGGGCCUGUUCAAGCCCCCGCAGGGACAUAGGACACGAGGGCCUGCGGCCAUGUGCCCACCACCUCACUGGGUGUAUCUUACACUGGGACUUCUUUCUGAUCAUGUCCUUGAGCUCUGUC